Molecule: long non-coding RNA, 2594 nt
Organism: Capra hircus (goat)
Lineage: Eukaryota; Metazoa; Chordata; Mammalia; Artiodactyla; Bovidae
Exons: 3
Source: RefSeq, a predicted model, not a curated record
ACUCCAGUAUUCUUGCCUGGAGAAUUCUAUGGACAGAGGAGCCUGGCAGGCUCCAGUCCAUGGGGUCACCAAAGAGUCAGACACAAGAAACUUGGCACACACGCAAACACGCUUGCAAGGUAUUAGAUCAGCAACUCAUGGCCCCUCUCUCAUUGACUUAUUUAUACCUAAGAAAGACUGAGAGUUGGAAAUUGAACUAAAGUUGGUUCAGCUGAUUUAUAUUAUUUAGGAAACAUUCUUCUAUCCAGAUUUCCCAGGCUAGUCAGACCACCUGGGUUUGAAUCCUGUUUCUGUCGUCUUUACUUUCUUCUCUACAUAUCUGAGUCCAGUUUCAUUUCUACUCUUAGUUCCUAUUUGAGGACAGAGUAUUUCUUCUUCUGUUUACUUUUUCCUUUCCUUGAGGAAAUGGUGGUGGAGACAAAAGCCCUGUUGAGGCAAAAUACAGCCUGCGUGAGAAAACCUGGGUUAUUUUAUCUUUGCUGAAAGUUUAUUCUAGCUCAUAUCUCUUAUCUCUUUCCCAUAAGGAAAUGCCCUGAGACUUCAGAUUGUCUCCCCAUCUUAAAGUCCUGGAACUUUCACUUUCGUUGUAAACCUCAGCUCCGUGGUUCACUUUCUCUACCUCACCAGACUUUCUUGCAGCUAUUUCUAGUAAUGUACAGUCACAAAAUGAAACACAAAACCAAACUAGGUUGGUUUUUCUGCCAAUUAGUGUGAAUCUCAGAUAUUUGCUAUCUUUAUCAGUGUAGCUUGAGUUAGGUAGGUGGAUGAAAGGGCACAGUUAAGAAGUAAGCUCAUUCAUUCUUCUCUGCUUUGUUUCAGAAUAUUAUGCUCCUUUGUGUCCCUGUCUAUAUUUUAUUUCUCUCUCUCUCUCUCUCUUUUUAACUUUAGGAUAUGCCACUUUCAUUUUUUGAUUGCUAAAUUGGUGAAUUUUCUAGACCUUUUUUUUUUUUUAACAGGUACUAAGGGAGAAAAUGUGCAGUUUUAACUGACCAUCUGGACAUUUCCGAAAUCCCCCACAGCUGAAAGUUUUCCUCCAUCCUCAGUCAGCUUUUGAUCUGCUAAUAUAAUUAGAUACUAGAGCAGGGGUCCCCAAUCUCUAAUCUAAUGCCUGAUGAUCUGAGAUGGAGCUGAUGCAAUAAUAAUAGAAGUAAAGGGUACAAUAAAUGUCAUAUGCUUGAAUCAUCCCCCCUACCCUGGUCAGUGGAAAAAUUGUCUUCCACAAAACUGGACCCUGGUGCCAAAAAGAUUGGGAACCGCUGUUCUAGAGACUGUUCUCAGAUGUCUGAACCUGAGAGUUCCCUGACACCUCCACGCCUCAUUGGUUAAGUGCUACCACCAGGCCUCCGCUGUUUUGGAUUCCUGUCAAUCCAGAUAAUGUUAAGGAACCCAGUCCCGCAGCAGCAUCUCUUCACUGUCACCUGUAAUGGAUAACUGCCACUGGGCUUCUUGGAGAUGUCAAUGGUACCCUCACCACCGACUUUCUUACUGCCUUUGAGAUGGGUGCACCCACCGGACUCUUGCAGAGAACACAGUCAGAUGGCAUAGGUUUUGAGCUGGUCGUCACUCUGGGUGCCUGGAGCUUUGUCCUGAUGAGAGCCUUUGGAGAGCUGUGUACAUUGUCCCUCGGAAUUGUCAGGAGUGCCUGACGUGGAGGAGCUGAUGAUGGAUUCUCUGGCUCUACCCUUCAGUGUCAGCUCCUUCCACCCCCUAGUCUGUGCCUGUGCUAAAAUAGCUGGCUGGGCUUCUGUAGGCAUCCCAGGUGGUGGCGGCGGAGAGUUCCUACUGCAGUAGCAAGAGAUGUCCCAAGCACUUGACACAGACCGUGGCAGAGCAGAGUUGGCUCCAGCAGAAAUGGCUGGAGCAAAGUGGUAAGCCAAGAAAGUAUGAAGAAUGAAUGAAUGUGUCUACAUUCAUGUACAUCUGACUUAUUGUGAUGAUCAGACUAUACCAGGAUUAUUUCUCUGUGUCCUGUCACAAAUGCUAGAUGCUAAGUACUUUAAAAAUAGGAACAUGGGAUAAAUUGGUAUUGUGUGUCUCCUGAAAUGAUGCGCUGAGAAGCCAAUGUCACUCCUGUGAUAUUCCCACCAAAAGUCAUAUCCUGAAUCUAAUCAUGAAGCAGAAACAUCUGACAAACCCAAAGUGAGGGACAUUCUACAAAAUAUACGGCCUUUACUCCUUAAAGAUGUCAUUGUCAUAAAGGACAAAGGAAGAGUGAGGAAUUAUUCUGAGUUAAAUAAAAAUUGAAUGCAAUAUGUGACCCAGAAUCUUAUGUUGCAUUAGCAGACAACAUAUGUUGCUGCUGGAACAACUGGCAAGAUUUGAAUACAAUCUGUAUAGUAGACAGUACUUUUGUAUCAAUGUUACCUUCCUGAUUUUAAUCAUUGCCUUAUGAUUGUAUAAAAGAAUGUUCUUGUUUUUAGGAAAUUUAUGCUGAAAUAUUUAAGUAUAAUGGAACGUUAUGACAAAGUCUCAAGGAGAAAAUAAUAAAAUAACAUGUUUGGGGAAUCUGGGUAAAGGAUAUGUAGCAAUUUUGUAUUCAGUUACCGCAGCAAAGAUCUGAAAUUAUGUCAAAACAAAGAAUUUUAAUUUUAAAC